GCGAUGGUGGCGAAAUCGGCAGACGCACAGGACUUAAAAUCCUGGGCUCCGUAAGGAGCGUGUGGGUUCAAGUCCCACCCGUCGCA
RNAcentral lists this transfer RNA (86 nucleotides) under Ignavibacteriota bacterium. RNAcentral's name for it is "Ignavibacteriae bacterium (groundwater metagenome) tRNA-Leu". It matches the Rfam family "tRNA". Rfam says of the family: Transfer RNA (tRNA) molecules are approximately 80 nucleotides in length. Their secondary structure includes four short double-helical elements and three loops (D, anti-codon, and T loops). Further hydrogen bonds mediate the characteristic L-shaped molecular structure. tRNAs have two regions of fundamental functional importance: the anti-codon, which is responsible for specific mRNA codon recognition, and the 3' end, to which the tRNAs corresponding amino acid is attached (by aminoacyl-tRNA synthetases). tRNAs cope with the degeneracy of the genetic code in two manners: having more than one tRNA (with a specific anti-codon) for a particular amino acid; and 'wobble' base-pairing, i.e. permitting non-standard base-pairing at the 3rd anti-codon position. Lineage: Bacteria; Pseudomonadati; Ignavibacteriota. The record is from RNAcentral.